AUUGAACGCUGGCGGCAUGCUUUACACAUGCAAGUCGAACGGCAGCGCGGGCUUCGGCCUGGUGGCGAGUGGCGAGCGGGUGAGUAAUACAUCGGAACGUGCCCAGUAGUGGGGGAUAGCUCGGCGAAAGCCGGAUUAAUACCGCAUACGACCUGAGGGUGAAAGCGGGGGAUCUUCGGACCUCGCGCUAUUGGAGCGGCCGAUGGCAGAUUAGCUAGUUGGUGGGGUAAAGGCCUACCAAGGCGACGAUCUGUAGCUGGUCUGAGAGGACGACCAGCCACACUGGGACUGAGACACGGCCCAGACUCCUACGGGAGGCAGCAGUGGGGAAUUUUGGACAAUGGGCGAAAGCCUGAUCCAGCAAUGCCGCGUGUGUGAUGAAGGCCUUCGGGUUGUAAAGCACUUUUGGCGGGAACGAAAAGGACUGUGCCAAUACCACGGUUCGAUGACGGUACCCGCAGAAUAAGCACCGGCUAACUACGUG
Molecule: ribosomal RNA, 484 nt
Filed under: uncultured bacterium
Lineage: Bacteria
Description: partial 16S ribosomal RNA
Rfam family: Bacterial small subunit ribosomal RNA
Source: RNAcentral